This 502-nucleotide unclassified non-coding RNA is filed under the name Hevea brasiliensis (rubber tree). Lineage: Eukaryota; Viridiplantae; Streptophyta; Magnoliopsida; Malpighiales; Euphorbiaceae. The record is from RNAcentral.
CCCGUAUGUGAAUGAAUUACAGAAAAAGUAACAAGAUUCUACCAAUCCAAUCUGUAAUGCAAGCAGCUUACUGGUUGCCUAACCAUCGAAGAGAGCUUCAUGAUGGUUAUGAAUUUAAAAGAGUCCUACCCCUUCCUAGUCCUAAGCUCGCUUGAGCAUGUGACCAGCUCUCACACUCUCGGCAAAAACCAAGGAUGCUUUUAUCACCGUUCACAGGCGUUAUAAUUGUAUUAUUUUGUAAGGCUACAACUUCAUCAAGGGCAUGUGGAAGACGCCGGAGCAAACCAUCGUUUAAAUAUUGUAACACCAUCUCAGAAUCAAACCCUAACAGCGUUUGAUUCUUACCCCUAAGAGCUUUUAUUGAAAUUAAUUUCAGAGCUUUGGUUAAAAAUAUACAACUGACCAGAAUUGAAUGGUAGCGAGUCAUGACCCCGGUUGCUUCACGAGGACGUUCAGUCUAAAGGGGUCGGGAAUGAUGAGUCCCACAUCGGUUCUGCAGGGA